Molecule: long non-coding RNA, 1687 nt
Filed under: Apteryx haastii (Great spotted kiwi)
Lineage: Eukaryota; Metazoa; Chordata; Aves; Apterygiformes; Apterygidae
Description: lncRNA (ENSAHAG00000014861.1)
Source: RNAcentral
NNNNNNNNNNNNNNNNNCUACGCCGCCAGGUAGGGCCGCGACGCCGCGGUGUCGUGCCGCGUGCCGCGCCGCGCACCGUGUGCCGCAGUGUGUGCUGUGCUGCGUGCCACGUGCUGCAUGCCGCGUGUUGCACCGCGUGCCGUGUACCGCAUCGUGUGCUGCGCCGCGUGCCGUGUGUCGCACCGCGUGCCGUGUACUGCAUUGUGUGCUGUGCCACGUGCCGCGUGUCGCACCGCAUGCUGUGUACCGCAUCGUGUGCUGCGCCGCGUGCCACGUGCCGUGUGUCGCACCGCGUGCCGUGUACCGCAUUGUGUGCUGUGCCACGUGCCGUGUGUCGCACCGCGUGCCGUGUACCGCAUCGUGUGCUGCGCUGCGUGCCGUGCCACGUGUUGCACCACGUGCCGUGUACCGCAUUGUGUGCUGUGCCACGUGCCGCGUGUUGCACCGCAUGCCGUGUACCGCAUCGCGUGCUGCACCAUGUGCCACGUGCCGUGUGUCGCACCGCAUGCCGUGUACCGCAUCGUGUGCUGCGCCGCGUGCCGUGUGUCGCACCGUGUGCCGUGUACCGCAUCGUGUGCUGCACCACGUGCCACGUGCCGUGUGUCGCACCGCGUGCCGUGUACCACAUCGCGUGCUGCGCUGCGUGCCGUGCCGUGUGCCAUGCAGCAUGCUGUGCACCGCGUACCGUGCCAGGUGCUGUGUGUGCUGUGUGCUGCAUAGCACGUGCUGCACCGUGUGCCGUGGGUCAUGCACCGCGCUGCGUCAUGCACCGCGUGCUGUGUGCCGCGCCCCAUGCCACGUGCUAUGUGCCACGUGUCGCACCAUGCUGUGCCACACGCCGUGCCACGUGCCGCAGUGUGCUGUGCCAUGUAGCGUGCCGUGCCGUGCGCUGUGUGCCGUGCCACAUGCCGUGCGCCACACUGCUGCGUGCUGUGCUGUGUGCCGUGUCACGUGCUAUGUGCUGCAUGUCGUGUGCUGUGCCACGUACCGUGUGCCGUGCUGCGUGCUGCAUUGCGUGCCGCACCACGCUGUGCCCCACGCUGCGCCACAUGCCACGCUGUGCUGUGCCAUGUGGCGUGCUGUGCCGUGUGCCACCCCGCACCAUGUGCCACACGCCAGGUGCCACGUGCCACACCGUAUACCGUGCCGCACGCCGCAUGCUGUGCCGCGUGCCACGUGCUGUGCCACCUGCUGUGCUGUGCACCUCAUGCCGUGCUGCGUGCUGCCCCACGUGCCGUGCCACGCACCGUGUGCCGCGCCACGUGCCGCAUCGCGUGCUGACCCGUGUCCCCGCAGGCCGGGCACCCCGGGCUACGGCGCCUUCCACGUGGAGCCGGCGCCCUACAAGCCGCGGCGCCCUGACGGCGGCUACGGCGACUCGUACGCGCGGCGGCCCUUCGGGGCGGCCGGCGGGCUCUACCGCGGCGCCGAGCACUACCUGCCCUACGGGGCCGCCUACGAGCCGGCGGGGCGCUACCAGCGGCACGCCUCCGCCGACGGCCGCCUCUCCUCCUCCUCCUCGUCCUCAUCGUCCUCGUCCUCCUCCUCCUCUUCGCACCGCCGCGCCGACGACGCUGGCUACCACGGGCGGCACCGGGCGCCGCGCGACGAGCCGCCGCCGCCGCCGGCCUCCUCCAGCUCCUCGUCCUCCUCGUCGUCGUCGUCGUCUGCCUCGUCGUCGUCGUCC